GGGGAGCUGGGCUGGAAGCUGGGAAGCUCGGCUCGGCGUUAGCUCGCUAGCAGGAAGGGGAGGGGCGGCGGGUUCCCGUCUGCUUUCUUUUUCGACUCGGGAAAGAACUGUAAAAACCCCCAGCCGCCGCUGCUUCGUCUCGCCUCUCCGGGGGCCGCUCGUUCCUGCUCGUGGAACGACGGCGUGUGCGUGCGCAGGGUGUGUGUGGCGGGCGCCCCGGGCCGAGCCGAGCUCGACCUGCUGCCGCCGCCGCCGCACAACACGGGAGGGGAGUCCCGGGUUUUUUUUUUUUUUUUUUUGGCUUGCUCCAAAGCGCGAAUCACGUGGAUUUAAAAAAAAAAUACUAGGAAAUCGAGGAGAGCGAGGGGUUCCGACUCGGCCCGUCCACCCGCCCGCCAGACUAGACGCUUGAAGAAAAGCUGCCAUCCAAGAAGACGACAUGCUUUCAGCAACCCCCCUGUAUGGGAACGUUCACAGCUGGAUGAACAGCGAGAGGGUCCGCAUGUGUGGAAUCAGUGACGACAGGUGAAUGCAUGGGUCUGGCUGAGGCCUGGGGAGCAUGCGGGUCCUUCCCUGGGGCUCCUAAGCAGAGCCCCCUUCACCUCCUCACAGCCAGAGUGGGCCCAAAGGGGGGUGGUGGGGGGAGAUCUCCUGCCUAGCUGGCAGCCUUGAUUUACAGUUUUAACAGGCAACCCGGCUCAGCGAAGCAUUGCCGCCCUUUAAGAGAUUAGCCCCUAAAGCGGCCUUUCAGUGCUCUUUCGUCCUUAAUUUAUUAUUUCAUAUUUAUGAAGGAGAAUUAAUCCCAGUCUAUAUGCUGCUUUAACUCUAAAUGUCAGGAGUGUGGGCCCAGGUGGAUCGGCAUUCGAUGUGCUUUUAAAACAAAUAGUUUGCUCAGUAAUAAAUGGGGCAAAAGCCACCCUUCA
RNAcentral lists this long non-coding RNA (923 nucleotides) under Bos indicus x Bos taurus (hybrid cattle). Its description in RNAcentral is "lncRNA (ENSBIXG00000029152.1)". Lineage: Eukaryota; Metazoa; Chordata; Mammalia; Artiodactyla; Bovidae. The record is from RNAcentral.